This 85-nucleotide transfer RNA is filed under the name Felis catus (domestic cat). It matches the Rfam family "tRNA". From Rfam's summary of the family: Transfer RNA (tRNA) molecules are approximately 80 nucleotides in length. Their secondary structure includes four short double-helical elements and three loops (D, anti-codon, and T loops). Lineage: Eukaryota; Metazoa; Chordata; Mammalia; Carnivora; Felidae. The record is from Rfam by way of RNAcentral.
GCCUGGGUGGCUCAGUCGGUUGAGCGACUGACUUCGGCUCAGGUCUUACUCUCACGGUUUGUGAGUUUGAGCCCCACGUCGGGCU